GGUGCCUUGGUCUGGAGUAACAACAAACCAUUCAACCUCACCUUUUGCUAAAGAAAUGUACGAGAAGAUAAAAGAUUCCCUUAUUGGUUAUGAAGUUGUUAUCAAUCGGUGGCCUCAUUACUCUUUGGUCUUGGAAAAUGCUGUUGCCAAUGUGGAAAGAGCCAUUCUUAAAGCACUGGAGAAACAAUAUAAUGACAUCUUGACUCCUUUGAAAGAUAGUAUUCCAAAAAGACUUAACAUGCAUGUCCAGAAGCUGACACGAAGGCAGUCGACAGCUCUAUACUCAGUUCCCAGCCAAGUGACUGCACCAUAAUCAAUAUAAUUGAACUCCAGUCUAUUGGGUCAGCCGUGAAUAUAGUUCUUGCAUAUCCUAAUUUAGUUGUUGUUAAUGGUGACAGGAAUAUUCCUUAACACUGUCAAGAGAAUUCUUGAUGUCUUGCAUUGUAGAGUGGAGGAGAUCUUAAAGUCUUGGGCAUCCUGUCUGCCUCUCACCGGGGACAAGAAGUCUCUGUUUGGAGAGCAGAUGAAUGGGAUAACUGUCAUGUUGAGAACGAAGUAUAAAAAUUAUUUGCAGGCAACGGUGGAGAAGCUUGUUAACAAUACUCAAGCUAAUCGAAAUACGAGACUGAAAAGGAUACAUGAGGAAAUAAAGGAACUGAGAUCCGCGAGCGAAUGCAG
This is a long non-coding RNA of Hibiscus syriacus, 678 nucleotides long. RefSeq lists it as uncharacterized. Lineage: Eukaryota; Viridiplantae; Streptophyta; Magnoliopsida; Malvales; Malvaceae. The transcript has 4 exons. The record is from RefSeq and is a predicted model, not a curated record.